RNAcentral lists this ribosomal RNA (531 nucleotides) under Microascus gracilis. RNAcentral's name for it is "eukaryotic LSU rRNA". It matches the Rfam family "Eukaryotic large subunit ribosomal RNA", at positions 50 to 585 of the family's 3401-position model. The record is from RNAcentral. Lineage: Eukaryota; Fungi; Ascomycota; Sordariomycetes; Microascales; Microascaceae.
GCGGAGGAAAAGAAACCAACAGGGAUUGCCCCAGUAACGGCGAGUGAAGCGGCAACAGCUCAAAUUUGAAAUCUGGUCCCCCCGCGGGGCCCGAGUUGUAAUUUGAAGAGGAUGCUUCUGGCAAGGUGCCGUCCGAGUUCCCUGGAACGGGACGCCGCAGAGGGUGAGAGCCCCGUACGGUCGGACGCCGAGCCUCUGUGAAGCUCCUUCGACGAGUCGAGUAGUUUGGGAAUGCUGCUCAAAAUGGGAGGUAAACCCCUUCUAAAGCUAAAUACCGGCCAGAGACCGAUAGCGCACAAGUAGAGUGAUCGAAAGAUGAAAAGCACUUUGAAAAGAGAGUUAAAAAGCACGUGAAAUUGUUGAAAGGGAAGCGCUUGCGACCAGACUCGCGCCCGUCGGAUCAGCCGUCGCUCGUCGGCGGCGCACUCCGGCGGGCUCGGGCCAGCAUCAGUUCGCCUCGGGGGGAGAAAGGCGGCGGGAAUGUGGCUCUACGGAGUGUUAUAGCCCGCCGCGUAAUACCGGCCGGGCGGA